ACAGGGAGGUAGUGACAAUAAAUAACAAUGCCGGGCUUUUUUCAAGUCUGGCAAUUGGAAUGAGAACAAUUUAAAUCCCUUAACGAGUAUCAAUUGGAGGGCAAGUCUGGUGCCCAGCAGCCGCGGUAAUUCCGGCUCCAAUAGCGUAUAUUAAAGUNGUUGCAGUUAAGAAGCUCGUAGUUGGAUUUCUGGUAGGAGCGGCCGGUCCGCCCCGUAAUGGGGUGUGCACUAGAGCCGCCUCCGGCCAUCCUUGGGGGAACUGCCAUGGCCUCAAUUGGUUGUGGUAUGGAACCCAUCGUUUACUGUGAAAAAAUUAGAGUGUUUAAAGCAGGCUUAGGCCGUUGAAUACAUUAGCAUGGAAUAAUAAGAUAGGACCUUAUGGACCUCUUGUUGGUUUGCGCCGUAAGGUAAUGAUUAAUAGGGAUAGUUGGGGGUAUUCGUAUUUAAUUGUCAGAGGUGAAAUUCUUGGAUUUAUGAAAGACGAACUUCUGCGAAAGCAUUUACCAAGGAUGUUUUCAUUAAUCAAGAACGAAAGUUAGGGGAUCGAAGAUGAUUAGAUACCAUCGUAGUCUUAACCAUAAACUAUGCCGACUAGGGAUUGGCGGUCGUUAAUUUUAUGACUCCGUCAGCACCUUAUGAGAAAUCAAAGUCUUUGGGUUCCGGGGGGGGUAUGGUCGCAAGGCUGAAACUUAAAGGAAUUGACGGAAGGGCACC
RNAcentral lists this ribosomal RNA (714 nucleotides) under uncultured eukaryote. Its description in RNAcentral is "SSU rRNA". It matches the Rfam family "Eukaryotic small subunit ribosomal RNA", at positions 456 to 1168 of the family's 1831-position model. The record is from RNAcentral.